Molecule: ribosomal RNA, 414 nt
Filed under: uncultured microorganism
Description: bacterial SSU rRNA
Rfam family: Archaeal small subunit ribosomal RNA
Source: RNAcentral
GCGUAGCAGUCGAGAAACCUUCGCAAUGCGGGAAACCGCGACGAGGGGACUCCCAGUGCCUACGCUCAGCGUAGGCUGUUCCCGAGCCUAGAAAGCUCGGGGAGUAAGGGCUGGGUAAGACGGGUGCCAGCCGCCGCGGUAAUACCCGCAGCCCGAGUGGUGGCCACUAUUAUUGGGCCUAAAGCGUCCGUAGCCGGCCCGGUAAAUGCCUGGGUAAAUCGUGAGGCCUAACCUCACGAAUUCCGGGUAGACUGCCGGGCUAGGGACCGGAGGAGGGAGAGGGUACUCCAGGGGUAGGGGUGGAAAUCCUGUAAUCCCUGGAGGACCACCGGUGGCGAAGGCGCUCUCCUAGGACGGGUCCGACGGUGAGGGACGAAAGCCAGGGGAGCGAACCGGAUUAGAUACCCGUGUAGU